UCGAGAAUCUUCCGCAAUGGGCGAAAGCCUGACGGAGCAAUGCCGCGUGGUGGAUGAAGGCCUUCGGGUUGUAAACACCUGUCAGUAGGAAGGAAAUUUUGACCGAUCUACAGAGGAAGUCCGGGCUAAGUACGUGCCAGCAGCCGCGGUAAUACGUACCGGACGAACGUUAUUCGGAAUCACUGGGCUUAAAGAGUACGUAGGCUGCCUUGAAGGUGAGAUGUGAAAUCCCAUGGCCUAACCAUGGAACUGCAUUUCAAACCACAGGGCUUGAGGGAGACAGGGGUGAGCGGAACUGAUGGUGGAGCGGUGAAAUGCGUUGAUAUCAUCAGGAACACCGGUGGCGAAGGCGGCUCACUGGGUCUCUUCUGACGCUGAGGUACGAAAGCUAGGGUAGCGAACGGGAUUAGAUACCCCCGUAGUCC
Molecule: ribosomal RNA, 425 nt
Filed under: uncultured prokaryote
Description: bacterial SSU rRNA
Rfam family: Bacterial small subunit ribosomal RNA
Source: RNAcentral